Molecule: ribosomal RNA, 374 nt
Filed under: uncultured eukaryote
Lineage: Eukaryota
Description: partial 18S ribosomal RNA
Rfam family: Eukaryotic small subunit ribosomal RNA
Source: RNAcentral
UAAUAGUGUAUAUUAAAGUUGUUGCAGUUAAAAAGCUCGUAGUUGAAUGUUGGUGUCGAACGAGCGGUCAGCUUCGGCUGUACUGCUCUCUCGACUCCUUCCUUCUGUGGACUACGUCGCACUUUACUGUGUGGCGCUAGGACGCAGACCGUUUACUGUGAAAAAAUUAGAGUGUUCAAAGCAGGCCGUACGCUUGAAUACAUUAGCAUGGAAUAAUGGAAUAGGACGUCGGGCCUAUUUUGUUGGUUCUAGGACCGUCGUAAUGAUUAAUAGGGACAGUUGGGGCCGUUUAUAUUCCGUAGUCAGAGGUGAAAUUCUUGGAUUUACGGAAGAUAAACUACUGCGAAAGCAUUCGGCAAGGAUGUUUUCGUUAA